RNAcentral lists this ribosomal RNA (562 nucleotides) under uncultured bacterium. Its description in RNAcentral is "partial 16S ribosomal RNA". It matches the Rfam family "Bacterial small subunit ribosomal RNA", at positions 355 to 926 of the family's 1533-position model. The record is from RNAcentral.
UGGGGAAUAUUGCACAAUGGGCGGAAGCCUGAUGCAGCAACGCCGCGUGAGGGAUGACGGCCUUCGGGUUGUAAACCUCUUUUAGCAGGGAAGAAGCGAGAGUGACGGUACCUGCAGAAAAAGCGCCGGCUAACUACGUGCCAGCAGCCGCGGUAAUACGUAGGGCGCAAGCGUUAUCCGGAAUUAUUGGGCGUAAAGAGCUCGUAGGCGGUUUGUCGCGUCUGCUGUGAAAUCCCGAGGCUCAACCUCGGGCCUGCAGUGGGUACGGGCAGACUAGAGUGCGGUAGGGGAGAUUGGAAUUCCUGGUGUAGCGGUGGAAUGCGCAGAUAUCAGGAGGAACACCGAUGGCGAAGGCAGAUCUCUGGGCCGUAACUGACGCUGAGGAGCGAAAGGGUGGGGAGCAAACAGGCUUAGAUACCCUGGUAGUCCACCCCGUAAACGUUGGGAACUAGUUGUGGGGACCAUUCCACGGUUUCCGUGACGCAGCUAACGCAUUAAGUUCCCCGCCUGGGGAGUACGGCCGCAAGGCUAAAACUUGAAAUGAAUUGACGGGGUCAUAGCU